UGGGGAAUAUUGCACAAUGGGCGCAAGCCUGAUGCAGCCAUGCCGCGUGUGUGAAGAAGGCCUUCGGGUUGUAAAGCACUUUCAGCGGGGAGGAAGGCGGUGAGGUUAAUAACCUCAUCGAUUGACGUUACCCGCAGAAGAAGCACCGGCUAACUCCGUGCCAGCAGUCGCGGUAAAACGGAGGGUGCAAGCGUUAAUCGGAAUUACUGGGCGUAAAGCGGACGCAGGCGGUCUGUCAAGUCGGAUGUGAAAUCCCCGGGCUCAACCUAGGAACUGCAUUCGAAACUGGCGGGCUAGAGUCAUGUAGAGGGGGGUAGAAUUCCAGGUGUGGCGGUGAAAUGCGUAGAGAUCUGGAGGAAUACCGGUGGCGAAGGCAGCCCCCUGGACGAAGACUGACGCUCAGGUGCGAAAGCGUGGGGAGCAAACAGG
RNAcentral lists this ribosomal RNA (429 nucleotides) under Chloroflexota bacterium. RNAcentral's name for it is "Chloroflexi bacterium partial 16S ribosomal RNA". It matches the Rfam family "Bacterial small subunit ribosomal RNA", at positions 355 to 776 of the family's 1533-position model. The record is from RNAcentral. Lineage: Bacteria; Bacillati; Chloroflexota.